GAUCUGUCUGAAGGUCUAGACAACUGUCCAGUAUUCUGUCUCAAGAUUAAAACAACAGGCCAAUAUUCUGUCUGAAGGUUUAAACAAAAGGCCAAUAUUCUGUCUGAAGGUCUAGACAACUGUCCAGUAUUCUGUCUGAAGGUCUAGACAACAGGCCAGUGAUCUGUCUGAACGUCUAGACAACUGUCCAGUAUUCUGUCUGAAGGUCUAGACAACAGGCCAGUGAUCGGUCUGAACGUCAAUGUCAACAAGCCAGUAUUCUAACCGAAGGUCUUGACAGCAGGCCAGUAUUCUAAGUGAAGGUCAAGACAGCAGACCAGUGUUCUGUCUGAAGGUUGAAACAACAGGCCAAUAUUCUGUCUGAAGGUUGAAACAACAGGCCAAUAUUCUGUCUGAAGGUUUAAACAAAAGGCCAAUAUUCUGUCUGAAGGUUUAAACAAAAGGCCAAUAUUCUGUCUGACGGUCUAGACAACUGUCCAGUAUUCUGUCUGAAGGUCUAGACAACAGGCCAGUGAUCUGUCUGAACGUCUAGACAACUGUCCAGUAUUCUGUCUGAAGGUCUAGACAACAGGCCAGUGAUCGGUCUGAACGUCAAUGUCAACAAGCCAGUAUUCUAACCGAAGGUCUUGACAGCAGGCCAGUAUUCUAAGUGAAGGUCAAGACAGCAGACCAGUGUUCUGUCUGAAGGUUGAAACAACAGGCCAAUAUUCUGUCUGAAGGUUGAAACAACAGGCCAAUAUUCUGUCUGAAGGUUUAAACAAAAGGCCAAUAUUCUGUCUGAAGGUCAAGACAACUGUCCAGUAUUCUGUCUAAAGGUUAAAACAACUGGCCCGUGAUCUGUCGGAAGGUCUAGACAACAGGCCAGUGAUCUGUCAGAAGGUCUAGACAACAGGCCAGUGUUAUGUCUGAAGGUCAAGACAAUAGGCCAGUGUUCCGUCUGAAGGUCUAGACAACAGGCCAGUGUUCUGUCUGAAGGUUAAAACAACAGGCCAGUAUUCUAACUGAAGGUCAAGACAACAGGCCAGUGGUCUUUGGUUGGACAGUGAAGCAGCCUGUUCCUCCUUGUGUAGUGUUGUAGAUGGGUUUUUUCUCUCUGAAGCUUCAUGAAGAUGAGAAGAUGCUCACUCAAUGACUGGAAAACAUAGUGUGUGAUUCAAAACCAGAUACAAACUCAAGGAAAUGAAACUCUUGUAUAUUUUGUUGAUUUGUGUAAGGGACUGGAAUGAUGAAAAUGAAUAUAGAGGAUAAUGUGAUUUAUUAAUCCCACUUCCUGUUAAUAAAGGUUAAUGUGAUACUGUG
RNAcentral lists this long non-coding RNA (1299 nucleotides) under Haliotis rubra (blacklip abalone). Its description in RNAcentral is "uncharacterized LOC124279369, transcript variant X2". The record is from RNAcentral. Lineage: Eukaryota; Metazoa; Mollusca; Gastropoda; Lepetellida; Haliotidae.